AAUAGAUACCCAGGUAGUCCCAGCUGUAAACGAUGCAGACUCGGUGAUGAAUUGGCUUAUUGCUAAUUCAGUGCCGCAGGGAAGCCGUUAAGUUUGCCGCCUGGGGAGUACGGUCGCAAGACUGAAACUUAAAGGAAUUGGCGGGGGGAGCACCACAAGGGGUGAAGCCUGCGGUUCAAUUGGAGUCAACGCCGGAAAUCUUACCGGGGGCGACAGCAGAGUGAAGGUCAAGCUGAAGACUUUACCAGACAAGCUGAGAGGAGGUGCAUGGCCGUCGCCAGCUCGUGCCGUGAGGUGUCCUGUUAAGUCAGGUAACGAGCGAGAUCCCUGCCUCUAGUUGCUACCAUUAUUCUCAGGAGUAGUGGAGCUAAUUAGAGGGACCGCCGUCGCUGAGACGGAGGAAGGUGGGGGCUACGGCAGGUCAGUAUGCCCCGAAACCCUCGGGCCACACGCGGGCUGCAAUGGUAAGGACAAUGAGUUUCGAUUCCGAAAGGAGGAGGCAAUCUCUAAACCUUACCACAGUUAUGAUUGAGGG
RNAcentral lists this ribosomal RNA (535 nucleotides) under uncultured bacterium. RNAcentral describes it as "bacterial SSU rRNA". It matches the Rfam family "Archaeal small subunit ribosomal RNA", at positions 728 to 1260 of the family's 1478-position model. The record is from RNAcentral.